UAGGGAAUCUUCCACAAUGGACGCAAGUCUGAUGGAGCAACGCCGCGUGAGUGAAGAAGGUUUUCGGACCGUAAAGCUCUGUUGUUGGUGAAGAAGGAUAGAGGUAGUAACUGGCCUUUAUUUGACGGUAAUCAACCAGAAAGUCACGGCUAACUACGUGCCAGCAGCCGCGGUAAUACGUAGGUGGCAAGCGUUGUCCGGAUUUAUUGGGCGUAAAGCGAGCGCAGGCGGAAGAAUAAGUCUGAUGUGAAAGCCCUCGGCUUAACCGAGGAAUUGCAUCGGAAACUGUUUUCUUGAGUGCAGAAGAGGAGAGUAGAACUCCAUGUGUAGCGGUGGAAUGCGUAGAUAUAUGGAAGAAUACCAGUGGCGAAGGCGGCUCUCUGGUCUGCAACUGACGCUGAGGCUCGAAAGCAUGGGUAGCGAACAGGAUUUAGAUACC
RNAcentral lists this ribosomal RNA (439 nucleotides) under uncultured bacterium. RNAcentral describes it as "partial 16S ribosomal RNA". It matches the Rfam family "Bacterial small subunit ribosomal RNA", at positions 355 to 786 of the family's 1533-position model. The record is from RNAcentral.